UACGGAGGGUGCGAGCGUUAAUCGGAAUUACUGGGCGUAAAGGGUGCGUAGGUGGUUGAUUAAGUUAUCUGUGAAAUUCCUGGGCUUAACCUAGGCAGGUCAGAUGAUACUGAUUGACUCGAGUAUGGGAGAGGGUAGUGGAAUUUCCGGUGUAGCGGUGAAAUGCGUAGAGAUCGGAAGGAACACCAGUGGCGAAGGCGGCUACCUGGCCUAAUACUGACACUGAGGCACGAAAGCGUGGGGAGCAAACAGG
This 253-nucleotide ribosomal RNA is filed under the name uncultured bacterium. RNAcentral's name for it is "partial 16S ribosomal RNA". It matches the Rfam family "Bacterial small subunit ribosomal RNA", at positions 524 to 776 of the family's 1533-position model. The record is from RNAcentral.